UUUAUGCCUUGUUCUCUCAACUCCCUGCCACUUCUCUCUACUCAAUAAUACGAUGGCUAGCAAAAUGGAUGCAACAACGAUAGCUACAAAAGUUCAGGUUCAGGAGCGAUGCGGGAACGACUGCUUCGGGAAAUGGCUCAACCUAGCUCUUCCUCCGCUGACCUCACGACAUCCCCAGAUCCAUCCCCAGCCCCAAAGCUUCUCAACUGCCUGCUUCCAUCCUGUCGCUCCGUUGCUGCAUCGCCCUGCAGCUCUUCAGCGGCGGGCAGCUCACCCAAGAAUCUCAUGCACUUGCUGAGGAACCUAAGGUGAGGCAGGGCAUUGAGUGGAACGAUGCUAUGGUGUAGAGGUGGCUCUGCAGGCCAGGGAGGCCCUUGCUUGACGAGGCGGUGACCUACAUCCCCGCUGGAGGAGGACAAAUAUACCUACCUGCUAUUUCUUCACAGUCUGACCUGCUGCUUCUUCACAGUCUGGCCCUCUACAUCCUCACGCAGGUUCGAGCACGACAUGCUUGCCUUGGUCGAAGACCUCAACACCGAGGAGGUGAGUUGACCGCAUCUGCGUCAGCAGCAAGCAGGGGACUACGAUGGAAGGCGGCCCAGGACUGCACGCAGCUGUGGCGGUUGGGGCUGAAAGCCAAGCACGACUAUAGAGGAAGUGCAGCGACUAGAUCCUCGGUGGCGCGCAGGAAGAAGGUUGGGGCCUCACACCGGAAGUAGGCAAGGGCCCGGCGUGCCGGCCUCGCACAGGAAGAGGCAGGGUCACCGGCGGGCCAGGAGAAGGUGGGGUGGGGAGGGGCGGUGGAGGCGUCCUCGCGCCGCCAGAAGCAGGCAAGGGCGCCGAUAGCCGUGCGCCAGGAGGAGGCUUGGGGUGUGGCGGCGCACCGGGCGGAGGCAGGUCGGCGGUGCUGGUGCCAGGAGGAGGCGGGGGAGGCGGCGCCAGGAGGUCCCGCGACAGCGGGAUCUGGUAGAGGGCGAGCGAGGUUACAGGCGUCGGCGGCGGCGGUUCCGCGGCCUGGUGAUGACGGGUCGAUGGGUGGGAGGUGGGGAUCGAGGAAGUGCGGGAGGUGGGGAUCAGGGGAGGUGGGGAAUGGUCAAUCGUUUUUUUCUUUGUUCCAGUGGGUUUGAGAGUUCCGGAAGACCGAAUCGGGCCUAUAUAGGGUGAUCGUGAUCCAAAUAACUAUUCUAAUCCUGAGAUUAGAAUUGUGCUAUCCUAUAUAUAUAUAUAUAGAAAUAUAUAUUCCUACAAGCAGUGGUAGUUACCACCACUUGCGUUUUGUAUGUUGUAUGUAGUACUGUCGAAACCAAAAGUAUGUACGUGUAGUAUGUAGUAUAUAAUAAUGAUUAGGUAGUAUAUAUACAAAUUUUUAGGUAGUAUGUACCAUUUUUUGAGUAUGUUCUUUUUUAUGUACAAAUAUAUAUGUAUUUUAUAAAUAUAACAAAAACUAUGGGCACAUGUGCA
This 1461-nucleotide ribosomal RNA is filed under the name Triticum aestivum (bread wheat). RNAcentral describes it as "partial small subunit ribosomal RNA". The record is from RNAcentral. Lineage: Eukaryota; Viridiplantae; Streptophyta; Magnoliopsida; Poales; Poaceae.